This 492-nucleotide ribosomal RNA is filed under the name uncultured bacterium. RNAcentral describes it as "partial 16S ribosomal RNA". It matches the Rfam family "Bacterial small subunit ribosomal RNA", at positions 29 to 507 of the family's 1533-position model. The record is from RNAcentral.
AGUGAACGCUGGCGGUAGGCCUAACACAUGCAAGUCGAACGGCAACACAGUAAGAGCUUGCUCUUACGGGUGGCGAGUGGCGGACGGGUGAGGAAUACAUCGGAAUCUACUUUUUCGUGGGGGAUAACGUAGGGAAACUUACGCUAAUACCGCAUACGACCUACGGGUGAAAGCAUGGGAUCUUCGGACCUUGCGCGAUUGAAUGAGCCGAUGUCGGAUUAGCUAGUUGGCGGGGUAAAGGCCCACCAAGGCGACGAUCCGUAGCGGGUCUGAGAGGAUGAUCAGCCACACUGGAACUGAGACACGGUCCAGACUCCUACGGGAGGCAGCAGUGGGGAAUAUUGGACAAUGGGCGCAAGCCUGAUCCAGCCAUACCGCGUGGGUGAAGGAGGCCUUCGGGUUGUAAAGCCCUUUUGUUGGGAAAGAAAAGCAGCAGGUUAAUACCCCGCUGUUCUGACGGUACCCAAAGAAUAAGCACCGGCUAACUUCGUG